CCUACGGGUGGCAGCAGUAGGGAAUUUUGCGCAAUGGGGGAAACCCUGACGCAGCAACGCCGCGUGAUUGAUGAAGCCCUUCGGGGUGUAAAGAUCUGUCAGUGGGGACGAAACUUGACGGUACCCACAGAGGAAGCAUCGGCUAACUCCGUGCCAGCAGCCGCGGUAAUACGGGGGAUGCAAGCGUUGUCCGGAAUCAUUGGGCGUAAAGAGUUCGUAGGUGGCACGUUAAGUCUGGUGUUAAAUGCAGAGGCUCAACCUCUGUUCGGCACUGGAUACUGGCGAGCUUGAAUGCGGUAGAGGUAAAGGGAAUUCCUGGUGUAGCGGUGAAAUGCGUAGAUAUCUGGAGGAACAUCAGUGGCGAAGGCGACUAUCUGGCACAUAACUGACGCUGAGGAGCGAAAGCGUGGGUAGCAAACAGGAUUAGAUACCCGAGUAGUC
RNAcentral lists this ribosomal RNA (441 nucleotides) under uncultured bacterium. RNAcentral describes it as "partial 16S ribosomal RNA". It matches the Rfam family "Bacterial small subunit ribosomal RNA", at positions 338 to 795 of the family's 1533-position model. The record is from RNAcentral.